This 465-nucleotide ribosomal RNA is filed under the name Vreelandella stevensii. RNAcentral's name for it is "partial 16S ribosomal RNA". It matches the Rfam family "Bacterial small subunit ribosomal RNA", at positions 338 to 795 of the family's 1533-position model. Lineage: Bacteria; Pseudomonadati; Pseudomonadota; Gammaproteobacteria; Oceanospirillales; Halomonadaceae. The record is from RNAcentral.
CCUACGGGUGGCUGCAGUGGGGAAUAUUGGACAAUGGGGGGAUCCCUGAUCCAGCCAUGCCGCGUGUGUGAAGAAGGCCCUCGGGUUGUAAAGCACUUUCAGUGAGGAAGAACGCCUGGUGGUUAAUACCCAUCAGGAAAGACAUCACUCACAGAAGAAGCACCGGCUAACUCCGUGCCAGCAGCCGCGGUAAUACGGAGGGUGCGAGCGUUAAUCGGAAUUACUGGGCGUAAAGCGCGCGUAGGUGGCUUGAUAAGCCGGUUGUGAAAGCCCCGGGCUCAACCUGGGAACGGCAUCCGGAACUGUCAAGCUAGAGUGCAGGAGAGGAAGGUAGAAUUCCCGGUGUAGCGGUGAAAUGCGUAGAGAUCGGGAGGAAUACCAGUGGCGAAGGCGGCCUUCUGGACUGACACUGACACUGAGGUGCGAAAGCGUGGGUAGCAAACAGGAUUAGAUACCCUAGUAGUC